UCCUAAGGGGCGGUAUAAUUUUGGUUUACAUUUCCACCAACAAUGUACAAGUGAUUCAGUUUUCCCACAUCGUGGCUGCCAUCUGUCUUUAGGAGUUUUGUCGCUGUGUGCCAUUUUCUGUUUCAGCAUUUCUGGCAGCUGUCAUGACAUUUCACUGAGGUCCUUCCCCUCCCUGGCUGGAAAUCACAUUGAGCUUACUUCACAUUUUAAGUUCUAUUCUUGAAUUUGUUUCUAAAACCCAGAAAUAAGAAGGAACGAACUAGGGCUUGCAACAGAGAAAGAAAGGGGCAUGCUUUUAAGUAUCUUUCCCUGGUUCUCCAGAGUUGCUGGGUGCAUCACUUGCAGGCCUGACAUCGGGUGGAUUCAGAACUCUGCUUUCACUCAAUCAUCAAUUAGCAUUUCUUACUGAAUUAUUCUAUGAAUCCAUUUCAGAAAGAAAACCAUGAGGCAAAUCAUGACCAUUAAACAUAUCCCAGCAGACUGGGCAUAUGAUUUGGGGAAUUUUGAUUACUUGGGAGUUAAAACUUAACUAAAUCAAACAAAAACCUCCUAAACACCUUAAGCAUCCUGAGAACCUCUCUGCCACACUUUAGGUUUGAGUUUCAGAGUUCAAGAAGCCUCACAUGCUCUCUCUCCUCAUCCUCACUAUGACCCAGAGUCAGGUGAGGAAAACGGAAGGAGCCGAGAAGGAAACCAGCUCUGCGACGGCCACACUUCCUCCCAGGGAAUGUCCAAGCCUGGCCUGGCUCCCAGUGCUGGAGGGAAAAAGCUUUUGCCCCCUCAUAGCUCUCCCUGCCCCAGGACUGCUGUGCUAAACUUGUUCUACCGAGACUUAAGAACGGAGAAAGUGAAUACGGGUUAGAAACUGUGUGGCUGGCUCUCGGAGAGAUUAUCAGGGAGCCAGGCAAUGCCAGUCCAGAAAGCAGACAGAGAGGGUUGAGAUUCCCACACAAGCAGAGCCCACAGGGAUCGGUGGGGCUCUCGGGAAGGCGACACUGAAUGGCACGGUCUAUGCACACCCUGCUGCAUAGGCCCGAGAGGCUGUUUCUUCCGUUUUCUCAGAGCUCUGGUGAGAUGUUUUCAGUUCCUCGAGACUUUUGGAGGGUGACUGGGGAGAUACCAAGUGGCCCAUCCAUACCUGACACCAGGAGAGUAACUUGAUCCUGACACUUGGCCUACGGAGCAUUACGAGGGUCGGAAAGUGGGCUUCGUUUUUACCCCUGUGCACGGCUAUUCUGGGCAAGUGGAAGCAGCCACGAGCUAAGACAGAGAUGUUGGCAUGCAUCAUGUUAACAGAGGGGACACAGUUGAGGCUGGGGCCUUCCUCACACUCACCUUGCCCUCCUGAAUGGUGACCACAUCAGGGAGCCCGCCCAGCACCCGGGCGCGAUCUGUAAGCACAGGCACUUCCGGUUAGUCCCCGCACGACGGUAGCCCUCAACCCCUCAUCCGAUCCCGGGGGCACAAACCCCCAGUUUAGCUCUCAUUCUCCUGACAGCUACUUCACACUGUGUGCAGUACCCCAGGUACAAUGGAAGUGCAAAAUGAAUGCUAGUAACAGGAAGCAGGAAGACCUUUUUCCCAUGGUUGCAUGUGAGCAGGUGUGGCCAGCUGCCCUCAAAAGACCAGCUCAGCAGGGCACUAUCACGUGGUGAGCUGCUCUGCAACUUUCAGCCGCCCCCCUCCCCCCGCUGAAGCUGAGUGGGGCUGAGCUGGGAAACAGACGGAAUCUUCACCGACAGCUUGGAGCCUGGUGUGGGCUCUCCCUGGGGUCCCCAGGAGGGGCAUGGGUUGUGAGGGAAGGGCCCAUGCAAGCACAUCUUCUUUCAAGGCCUUCCUAUGAGUGUUCUUUUCUGUCUCCUAGGGGUUCCUGGCAGCUGUGUACAAGCCACUAUCCACAGCUGAGUGUCAAGGCCAGCCAAAAGGGGACCAGGACCAGGAUGGGUGUGAAAUCCAAGAUGCUGCCCUUGGCCAAUCCAUGUGCCCAAGCCCUUGGGGAAGCCGCCUUUCUGUCAUAAAUGCUAAGGCCUCCUCUCUGGCACUGACACAGUGGCUUCCAGCCUCAUAACUUUUGGGCCAACUUCAAUUAAUCUGUGACUCUCGAUCAUCAUUUCUACAAUUGCCUGCUCUGUGGAGUCAGGCUGAAACUUGGGGUGGCACCAGACUCCUUCCUUCUGUCAAUGCCAUUAUACCACCAGCUCCCCACGUGACCUGCCAUGUGACAUUCAGCCUGUCACCUUGCUGGGUGCCACAGUCCCCUGGGUGUAGAAUGGGAGGAGGGUUGCACGGUAUCUGUGGACUCUGAGUUUGCAAACUUGCACCACAGCUUCUGUGGGUUCCCCUGGAGCGGGGUAGGUGACGGUGCAGAGGACUGUUCAGAGUGAAUGUAGGUGUAAAAUCUCAGAGCCAGAGGACCCCGGCCUCACCCAGCUGUGUGGGUGCAUGACCCAGAGGGCCAGGCUCCCAGCAAGACAGGCAGGACCCUGCUGGUGGGUGGGGGCCUCUCAGGCUGUCCCAGAUCCUCGCUGACCCGCUCCACCCCAGCUCCAGAAGGCCUCUGCCCUGACCACUAGAGCGCGAGCGCCUCCUGAACAGGGCCUGAGCCUGCAUGGGGAGGAGAGGGCAGCAGAGCUGGGGUAGGCUCAGAGUCCCCAGUGAGCCAGACCUGGGAAGUGGGGUGGCAACACCCCGCUCACUCCUUCCCUUGCCCCCUUCAAGUCCAGCUUGGCAUCCACUGUAGAGCGUAUGGCAGCAUUUCAAUUCCACCCCGCACUUAGAAAGAAACCAAAUCAAUGCACUGGCUUAGCCGGAGGUUCCUGAAACCCUCCGGGCAGGGCUGUUGGGGUUCUCUAAAAAUCUCUCGGAGGGAAGCAAACUGCGACCCAGCGCAGCAUAAAGGGCCCAUUCAGACGCUGGUCGAUCUAGGUACUCAGGAAACGGCCCAGUACUCCCUGGGGAGGCUGCAGUGAUUUACCCCGUGCCAAACUUACAAUGUUUCUUUUCUUUAACGGUGUGAUUUUUCCCCUUGCUACAUUGUGUCUAACGUAGUGGAUUUGCAAGCAGGAGAUUUCUCAGGCUGGCCGGGAGCUGGGUGACACUCUCCCAGAAUAGCCCGGGACUUCUUUCCAUAGGCAUUCUUACCCGCAAGACUAAAAUGAAAACAUAUGUGGGACCCCUCCGGUUCUAAAAAAGGAAGGAAAAGCCAAGACACCCUUCUCCUCUCCUGUCUGCAGCUAUGACAGCACAGUGAAGUGUAUUUCUGGUCCACGGGAAGCGGGCUACUUACUUUUCUCGGCAAUGGCAGCUUGUCUGUGGUUGAGAGAGACAAACAAACAUAGAAACAAAGAAGACUGUGUUGAGUGCUACUUGGAAGCAGCUGACCCGGGCCGCAUCUCUCUGCUGUGGGGACCUCAGCUAUUGCUACGGCAGCAGCAAGCGCCACUGGACAAAGGGCUCUUUCUACACUCGGUCCCGGGGACCCAGGGAGAUUACUGCACACAGAAGCAUUUGCCAGGAUGGGGGACUUACUUUAACCUCUGGAAUUCAGCAUAGGCCUCUUCGUACGCUUUAAGAGAAAAAAGCAAAGUUAGAAUCUGCUCACCCCGAAUCCCAUGCAUGACCAGGCACAGGCUCUGAAUAAAACUCCCACGCAAGGUGGCUAACUACUGACUCAGUAACACACUCACUCUAAUGCACUCUGCCUUUCUAGGUAGAAAACGUAAGAUAGGUGCUUUGGAAAGUUUUCAGCUCAACCCUUUAAGUAGAAAGUCAGGGAUUAGCACCACCCAAGGAAAAUGUGAAUAAAUCUGUUUCAUAAAAAGUUGGCUGUCUAUUAAACAUCCUAAACACCAAA
This is a non-coding RNA of Heterocephalus glaber (naked mole-rat), 3853 nucleotides long. The record is from RefSeq and is a predicted model, not a curated record. NCBI's taxonomy places the organism in Eukaryota, Metazoa, Chordata, Mammalia, Rodentia, Bathyergidae.